Gasterosteus aculeatus aculeatus (three-spined stickleback) is the source of this 363-nucleotide non-coding RNA. Lineage: Eukaryota; Metazoa; Chordata; Actinopteri; Perciformes; Gasterosteidae. The record is from RefSeq and is a predicted model, not a curated record.
UGAAGACUCACCACGAGCAUCAGGACAGAACUUCACCAUCACUGACUUCACAGCUGAACACAGUGGGAAUUAUUACUGUGAAGCCCAGAACGAGAUGGGAUGUAGUAACUCCACCUUAAUUCUGAUUAAUUCUUCAGGAAAAGGAGGCUGCACAAGGUCAACAACAACAACUGUUUUUGCAUCCAUAUCUGCUGUUUUCCUGCUGAUCAUCAUCCUCGCUGUCCUCUACAUCAGAUCCCACUGACCAACGCUGGACACCAGGAGGAAGAGGAGAAAAUGGAGAUGGUGCCGUCCACAUGUAUCCACUUUGAUGAAGGCAGCGAGUGACAAUCUUUACUGAAUAUGGAUCCGUCUCUGCUUUUA